UCAAAUCCCAUAACAC
RNAcentral lists this transfer RNA (16 nucleotides) under Pseudocheirus peregrinus (common ring-tailed possum). RNAcentral describes it as "partial transfer RNA-Phe". Lineage: Eukaryota; Metazoa; Chordata; Mammalia; Diprotodontia; Pseudocheiridae. The record is from RNAcentral.